GAUGAAUGCUGGCGGCGUGUCUAAGGCAUGCAAGUCGAGCGGAUACUACUGCGAUUACAUCAAGAUAGUAUUAGCGGCAAACGGGAGCGUAACACAUUGGCAAUCUACCUCGCACUCGUGAAUAACUAGCCGAAAGGCUGGCUAAUACACGAUAUUGUCCACAAAUCGGAAAGUAGUGGAUGAAAGUUACGGCGGUGCGAGAGGAGCCUAUGUCCCAUCAGCUAGUUGGCGGUGUAAUGGACCACCAAGGCUAUGACGGGUACCAGGUGUGAGAGCACGACCUGGCUCACUGGGACUGAGACACUGCCCAGACACCUACGGGUGGCUGCAGUCGAGAAUAUUCCGCAAUGCACGAAAGUGUGACGGAGCGACGCCGCGUGUCGAAAGAAGGCCUUGGUCGUAACGACUUUAUCAGGGACGAAUUUAGUACGGUACCGUGAAGAAUAAGGGGUUAGGC
Molecule: ribosomal RNA, 457 nt
Filed under: uncultured bacterium
Lineage: Bacteria
Description: bacterial SSU rRNA
Rfam family: Bacterial small subunit ribosomal RNA
Source: RNAcentral